This 697-nucleotide ribosomal RNA is filed under the name Naganishia friedmannii. RNAcentral's name for it is "eukaryotic LSU rRNA". The stretch from base 73 to 697 matches the Rfam family "Eukaryotic large subunit ribosomal RNA", at positions 1 to 621 of the family's 3401-position model. Lineage: Eukaryota; Fungi; Basidiomycota; Tremellomycetes; Filobasidiales; Filobasidiaceae. The record is from RNAcentral.
UCGGAUGGCCCUGUUGCAGGACUAAAGACCGCUUUCUAAUCCAUUGAUCUUCGGAUUAAUAUUCAUAACAUCUGGCCUCAAAUCAGGUAGGACUACCCGCUGAACUUAAGCAUAUCAAUAAGCGGAGGAAAAGAAACUAACAAGGAUUCCCCUAGUAACGGCGAGUGAAGCGGGAAGAGCUCAAAUUUGAAAUCUGGUAGCCUUCGGUUGCCCGAGUUGUAAUCUAGAGAAGUGUUUUCCGCGUUGGCCCAUGUACAAGUCCCUUGGAACAGGGCGUCAUAGAGGGUGAGAAUCCCGUCCUUGACAUGGACCCCCAAUGCUUUGUGAUACACUUUCAACGAGUCGAGUUGUUUGGGAAUGCAGCUCAAAAUGGGUGGUGAAUUCCAUCUAAAGCUAAAUAUUGGCGAGAGACCGAUAGCGAACAAGUACCGUGAGGGAAAGAUGAAAAGCACUUUGGAAAGAGAGUUAAACAGUACGUGAAAUUGUUGAAAGGGAAACGAUUGAAGUCAGUCAUGCUCUUUGGAUUAAGCCGUUCUGCGGUGUAUUUCAUUGAGCGGGGUCAACAUCAGUUUUGAUCGCUGGAAAAGGGCAGGAGGAAGGUAGCACUCUCGGGUGAACUUAUAGCCUCUUGUCGUAUACAGUGAUUGGGACUGAGGAACGCAGCAUGCCUUUUGGCCGGGAUUCGUCCACGUACAUG